RNAcentral lists this ribosomal RNA (251 nucleotides) under uncultured bacterium. RNAcentral's name for it is "partial 16S ribosomal RNA". It matches the Rfam family "Bacterial small subunit ribosomal RNA", at positions 82 to 334 of the family's 1533-position model. The record is from RNAcentral.
UACCGGGUGGCGACCGGCGCACGGGUGCGUAACGCGUAUGCAACCUACCUUUAACAGGGGCAUAACACUGAGAAAUUGGUACUAAUUCCCCAUAACAUUCGAGAAGGCAUCUUCUUGGGUUAAAAACUCCGGUGGUUAAAGAUGGGCAUGCGUUGUAUUAGCUAGUUGGUGAGGUAACGGCUCACCAAGGCAACGAUACAUAGGGGGACUGAGAGGUUAACCCCCCACAUUGGUACUGAGACACGGACCAA